This 748-nucleotide long non-coding RNA is filed under the name Lonchura striata (white-rumped munia). Its description in RNAcentral is "domestica (Bengalese finch) lncRNA (ENSLSDG00000017630.1)". Lineage: Eukaryota; Metazoa; Chordata; Aves; Passeriformes; Estrildidae. The record is from RNAcentral.
AUUCCCGCCCGGAACGCCGCCGGAAUUCCGAUCCCGCCCGGGCGGGAACAGCAGCAGCGGAAAUCCCGGGAUUCCCGGCCGUUAUUCCCAUUUUUUUGGGGGUUAUUCCCAUUUUUCUGCGGAUUUUUCCCUUUUUUUUUCGCAUUUAUUCCCCAUUUUUUUGGCAUUUAUUCCCAUUUUUUUGGGGGUUAUUCCCAAUUUUCCGCUAAUUUUUCCCUCUUUUUUUGGGCAUUUAUUCCCAUUUUUUUUGGGGGGCUUAUUCCCAAUUUUCUCCUAAUUUUUUCCUUUUUUUUUUUAGUUUUUUCCCAUUUUUUGGGAGGUUAUUCCCAUUUUUCUGCGAAUUUUUCACUGGUUUUUUUUUGCAUUUAUUCCCAUUUUUUUCGGGUGUUAUUCCCAAUUCUCCAAGGGUUUUUCCCACUUUUCCAGGAUUAUUCCCAAUUUUCUGGGUGUUAUUCCCCUUCCUGCACAAUUAUUCCCAGCAUUCCAAUGAUCAUUCCCAAUUUUCCGAGGGCUUUUCCAAUUUUUGCAGCAUCAUUCCCAUUUUUUCCGCAAAUUUUUCACUUUUUUUUGGGGGUUUUUCCCAUUUUUCUGAGAAUUAUCCCAAAUUUUCCAAGGGUUUAUUCCCAAUUUUCUGAAGGUUUUUCCCCAUUUUCCUGAGGAUAUUCCCAUUUUUUUCGGGAUUAUUCCCAAUUUUCCAGGGUAAUUCCCAUUUUUCUGGAUUAUUCCUGAUUUCCUGACGGUUUUUCCC